UACGUAGGGGGCAAGCGUUGUCCGGAAUUAUUGGGCGUAAAGCGCACGUAGGCGGCAUUGCAAGUCGGAUGUGAAAUCCCUCGGCUCAACCAAGGAAGUGCAUCCGAAACUGCAGUGCUUGAGUACUUAAGAGGAUCGCGGAAUUCCCGGUGUAGAGGUGAAAUUCGUAGAUAUCGGGAGGAACACCAGUGGCGAAGGCGGCGAUCUGGGAAGAUACUGACGCUGAGGUGCGAAAGCGUGGGGAGCAAACAGG
Molecule: ribosomal RNA, 253 nt
Filed under: uncultured bacterium
Lineage: Bacteria
Description: partial 16S ribosomal RNA
Rfam family: Bacterial small subunit ribosomal RNA
Source: RNAcentral